RNAcentral lists this microRNA (21 nucleotides) under Pteropus alecto (black flying fox). RNAcentral describes it as "pal-miR-107b-3p". Its record names the gene pal-miR-107b-3p. Lineage: Eukaryota; Metazoa; Chordata; Mammalia; Chiroptera; Pteropodidae. The record is from miRBase by way of RNAcentral.
AGCAGCAUUGUACAGGGGUGU